UUUUCAAAAUUUUCAAAAAGAAAAUAAUAAUAUUAAAGAUAUCUUUUAUCUGUAAUUCUCGAAUUGUAAAUCAUGAUUAUAAUAAUUUAAUCAAAGACCCAAACUAUAAACCAUGUGCUUAGUAAACUUGCACACCUUCCCUGUGAAGUGGCACGAAGCCAAAAAGAAAGAGCAAAUAUGACAGAUAUUUUUAUACUAGACAGUGGCUUUCGGCUAUGAAUGCCAUUUCCUGCUCAACCACGGACAAGAUUGUAAACAGUUUGCAAAUCUUCAUCAGUGAAACAGUAACCUGAUAACCACAAAUAGCAUGUAUGCAAGCAUGAAACCCUAAAUCCAAUAGAGUGAUGCAGAGAGUUUGGCUUGAGAAUUCGGUGUUUACAGGGUUUAGGGUUCAAGGAGUUUUCUUCAGGUUUCGAAGCACCAAUGCUGCGGGGUCUGUGCUGGAAAAUGGUUAAGUAGUAAACCUUGACCAAGCUUCGUCUCUUUUUCUGAGGUUUGGGCUGAAUAAUGCCACGGUAGUCCUUUUAUCAGGAGAUCGACUUCCUUUUGUGCACAAACUAGGGCUUGAACGAGUUCCAAAUGUCUCAAAGAUCUCUGCAGAAUUGGCAGUUAAGCCGUUGGCGUUCCUAACCGAUCCACUGAUGUUAUAAGCUUCAAUGUGGAUUCCAAACAGUUAAAACGAAGGCAUGUGCUGUAGAUGUGAAUUAAAUCUCUAUCAUGGUGCCACUGUGUUGUCACUGCAGCCUGAUGGGUAUGCUAGAAUAAAGCCUAAGUUCAAUUUCCUCACCUGAAGCCCUAUCAUCUGUCAGUUUUCUGCUAUGAACUGGUGCGCAUUUUCGAGUCUCUGGCAUGCAGGUAAUUCCACACACAAGCCGAAAAAUCGCACGAACGAGAAUCAAUGCUCCAUCAACACUUCGAAUCAAGGUUGAAACUGUCAAUCACUCAUCACGAGACAGGCUUGAGGAAUUACGAAUCUACAGCAGCAGCGGCUUGGAAUGUUAAUCUUGUAGUCUUAAUAAUCGCUCGUAUUCUCUGGCACGCUGUACCCACAUGCAACUCACAGCUGCAGAAUUUCAUCCUACUGCCACCUUUUUCUCACUGUCUCAGAUGAAGGCCGGCCACCAAUCAGUACUGAGUCCAUCCACGAUGGGGUCCGGAUCCUGAGCAUCGACAGGCUCGACUGGUCCAGAGUUGCUUUGCUCUGUGCUCUGUUGCUUCUACGCUACCUUUUCUUCUCAUGCUGCGAUUUCGUGCUGAGUCUCGUGCGAGUAUUGCCACCACAACAGUUGCUGGUAAGCGUUUCGUUGCUCAGAAGAGGCUGUUGUGAAGAGCAGUUCCGAUCAGAGGGAGGGGUACUUUGUUAAGCUGAGGGUGUCAUGGGUUGAGCGGUCUGCAAGUGUUGGAGGAUUCCAGUGUCAAGGCCUUGACGGGAUCUGAAGCGACAAGGAGACAACAGCCAUACCUGAAUGGUGCGUAUGAUGAAUAGCUUUGCCGGAGUGCCUGUGUUGGUGAGAGUUUGCUGUGAGGGUCGAUGUGCAGGUUCACACCAUCAGCUGGUUGCCUGUGGAGAAGUUGCUCUAUUUGGAUCUGCAUUUUUUUUUUUUUUUUUUUUUUUUUUUUGUCGCUGCCAGUCACGAUUGCAUGCGAUGGAGGGCAUCUGAGAUUUGCUUGUGAGUUUUGUUGUGUUUGUGUUGGUCGUGAGGGGCAGAGUGGACGAUGGUGUUCAUGUUGUGGGUUUUGAAGAAGAUUGCCUAGUUGAGUGGGAUGCUGUUGCAGGAAUGCAGUUUGGUGAUGGCUUUGUUGUAGCUUAGUAAGCAUGAACACGAGAUUGCAAUGGACCUCAAUUCGAAUGUCGUCCACAAUGAAGUUGUAUGUUUUGGAUUGCUUCCACAUGAGUUGUUUUCUUGAAGCUUUGAGAGAUGGAUGUAGACAUUGGGAUUUUGGUGUUCAAUUGAUACUAAAAUUGAUGGUUACUGUUGAGGCUAGUGAUUUAAGGAAUUAAAAAGAGAAUAUUUAUAUAUAUAUAUAUAUAUAUAUGAUACAUCUUGGUUGUAGUUUUUGGAAGUAGUUUCUUAAAAUUGGUUUAUUUAUAAGAUUGGUUUAUAAGAUUUUAUAAGAUCUUGGUUUAUAAGAUGGUUUAUAAGAUUGGUCAAUAAAAGUUUUGAAAAUAAGAUAAUUGGAUAUAAUUAAUGCAAGUUGAGCAUCCCUAUGGAGAAAUUUGGAGUGA
Non-coding RNA from Physcomitrium patens, 2227 nucleotides. The record is from RefSeq and is a predicted model, not a curated record. Lineage: Eukaryota; Viridiplantae; Streptophyta; Bryopsida; Funariales; Funariaceae.